This 342-nucleotide long non-coding RNA is filed under the name Mytilus galloprovincialis (Mediterranean mussel). The record is from RNAcentral. Lineage: Eukaryota; Metazoa; Mollusca; Bivalvia; Mytilida; Mytilidae.
GCUCUAAAUGCUUUGGUUUCAGAGAUAUAAUCCAAAAUCUACAUUUUACCCCUACGUUCUAUUUUUAGCCAUGGCGGCCAUCUUGGUUGGACACAUUUUUAAAACUAAAUACCCUAAUGAUUAUUGUGGCUAAGUUUGGUUAAAUUUGGUUCAGUAGUUUCAGAGGAGAAGCUUUUUGUAAAAGUUAACAGACGACGCCGGACGACGGACGCAAAGUGAUGAGAAAAGCUCACUUGGCCCUUCGAGCCAGGUGAGCUAAAAACAAGUUUAUGUGUCAAUCAUUGUGUAUGACAAAUAUACCAUUUAUAUUCCCGUAUUUAACUAACAUAUUCUAAUGCACAC